Molecule: ribosomal RNA, 495 nt
Filed under: uncultured bacterium
Lineage: Bacteria
Description: partial 16S ribosomal RNA
Rfam family: Bacterial small subunit ribosomal RNA
Source: RNAcentral
GAUGAACGCUGGCGGCGUGCCUAAUACAUGCAAGUCGAGCGAACAGACGAGGAGCUUGCUCCUCUGACGUUAGCGGCGGACGGGUGAGUAAAACGUGGAUAACCUACCUAUAAGACUGGGAUAACUUCGGGAAACCGGAGCUAAUAACGGAUAAUAUAUUGAACCGCAUGGUUAAUUAGUGAAGACGGUUUUGCUGACACUUAUAGAUGGAUCCGCGCCGCAUCAGCUAGUUGGUAAGGUAACGGCUUACCAAGGCGCAGAGGGAUAGCCGACCUCAAGGGGGAUACGACCACACUUGAACUGAGACACCGGCCAAACACCUACAGUAGGCUGCAGUAGGGAAUCUUGCGCAAUGGGCGAAAGCCUGACGGAACAACGCCGCGUGAGAGAAGAAGGUCUACGGAUCGUAAAUCUCUUUUAUUAGGGAAGAACAGAAGUGUAAGUAACUAUGCUCAUCUUGACGGUACCUAAUCAGAAAGCCACGGCGAACUGCAU